This 492-nucleotide ribosomal RNA is filed under the name uncultured bacterium. RNAcentral's name for it is "partial 16S ribosomal RNA". It matches the Rfam family "Bacterial small subunit ribosomal RNA", at positions 29 to 507 of the family's 1533-position model. The record is from RNAcentral.
AGUGAACGCUGGCGGUAGGCUUAACACAUGCAAGUCGAACGGCAGCACAUUAAGAGCUUGCUCUUACGGGUGGCGAGUGGCGGACGGGUGAGGAAUACAUCGUAAUCUACUUUUUCGUAGGGGAUAACGUAGGGAAACUUACGCUAAUACCGCAUACGACCUACGGGUGAAAGCAGGGGAUCUUCGGACCUUGUGCGAUUGAAUGAGCCGAUGUCGGAUUAGCUAGUUGGCGGGGUAAAGGCCCACCAAGGCGACGAUCCGUAGCUGGUCUGAGAGGAUGAUCAGCCACACUGGAACUGAGACACGGUCCAGACUCCUACGGGAGGCAGCAGUGGGGAAUAUUGGACAAUGGGCGCAAGCCUGAUCCAGCCAUACCGCGUGGGUGAAGAAGGCCUUCGGGUUGUAAAGCCCUUUUGUUGGGAAAGAAAAGCAGCAGGUUAAUACCCCGCUGUUCUGACGGUACCCAAAGAAUAAGCACCGGCUAACUUCGUG